GGAGAGGUGGCUGAGUGGUUGAAGGCGCUCGCCUGGAGAGCGAGUAGACGGGUCAAUCCCUGUCUCGCGGGUUCAAAUCCCGCCCUCUCCG
Molecule: transfer RNA, 91 nt
Filed under: Carboxydothermus hydrogenoformans Z-2901
Lineage: Bacteria; Bacillati; Bacillota; Clostridia; Thermoanaerobacterales; Thermoanaerobacteraceae
Rfam family: tRNA
About the family: Transfer RNA (tRNA) molecules are approximately 80 nucleotides in length. Their secondary structure includes four short double-helical elements and three loops (D, anti-codon, and T loops). Further hydrogen bonds mediate the characteristic L-shaped molecular structure. tRNAs have two regions of fundamental functional importance: the anti-codon, which is responsible for specific mRNA codon recognition, and the 3' end, to which the tRNAs corresponding amino acid is attached (by aminoacyl-tRNA synthetases). tRNAs cope with the degeneracy of the genetic code in two manners: having more than one tRNA (with a specific anti-codon) for a particular amino acid; and 'wobble' base-pairing, i.e. permitting non-standard base-pairing at the 3rd anti-codon position.
Source: Rfam by way of RNAcentral